AAUAAUAUAACUAAAAAUAUAAUUAUUUAAAUUAAAAUAUAAUAUUAAAUUAAAAAUAUACUGUUAACAGUAUAUUACUUAAGUUAGAAGAGGAGAAAAAAAUUUCUCUGAAAUAUUUAAAUAUAAAAAAUAAAUAAUAUAACUAAAAAUAUAAUUAUUUAAAUUAAAAUAUAAUAUUAAAUUUAAAAUAUAAGGUUAACAGUAUAUUACUUAAAGUUAGAGGGGGGAGAAAAAAUUGUUAAUUGUAACAGAGGGAGAUAGCAGUAGCGCUGCGAACGACAACAACGACAACGGUUUAAGAUACUAUUAACAGUAUAUUACUUAAAGUUAGAUGGGGGAGAAAAAAUGUUCAGUAACAAAGAUAGCAGCAGGGCUGUGAACGACAGCAACGGUAGCGGCGGAAGCUGCGAACAAUAGUAGUGGCAGCGGUGAAAGUUGCGGACAGCAGCGGUAGCAGUGACAGAAGCUCUAGAGGGCGUCCGUUGGUGGGGAAGGAACUUGUGGUCCUCUCCCUCGACAAUGGAAGGAUGCGACAAUAGAAGGAAGCUACGGGGGCCGUCGGACUUGUCCGUCGACAACAGAGGAAGG
This 588-nucleotide long non-coding RNA is filed under the name Musa acuminata (dwarf banana). Its description in RNAcentral is "long non-coding RNA (MACU_LNC002529)". The record is from RNAcentral. Lineage: Eukaryota; Viridiplantae; Streptophyta; Magnoliopsida; Zingiberales; Musaceae.